UGAAUCAAUCCAUUCAUGAAUGGGUGAACUUCUUUUCCCGGAGAAGAAUCAAUGACGGUAUCCGGGGAAUAAGCAUAGGCUAACUCUGUGCCAGCAACCACGAUAAGACAAAGGAUGC
Non-coding RNA from Lupinus albus (white lupine), 118 nucleotides. Lineage: Eukaryota; Viridiplantae; Streptophyta; Magnoliopsida; Fabales; Fabaceae. The record is from the annotation of a GenBank genome assembly.